AUAUAUUAUAUAUUACAGAUAAACUUCAAAAAUACUUAUCUUCCAUCUAGCAAUCCAGUAUCAGACUCUCUUAAAUUAUUUGCUGAAAAUGAAAUGAUGCUUACCGUAUCAUGGCAAUGAUAGCGAGACGAAACUUGGCGUAAGUUAUUUCCUUUGGGAAAUUCAAAUUACC
Long non-coding RNA from Xenia sp. Carnegie-2017, 172 nucleotides. RefSeq lists it as uncharacterized. The transcript has 2 exons. The record is from RefSeq and is a predicted model, not a curated record. Lineage: Eukaryota; Metazoa; Cnidaria; Anthozoa; Malacalcyonacea; Xeniidae.